GCGACCCGCACAGACAGUUGUGGGUUAUGUGUUAGGCUAUUAGUGGGUUGUGUCGUACUUACCAGUGUUCGCGGGGUCAUGCCAAUCAACCUGCUAUCUGCCAAUCACGGGAAUGCCUGGAAUGUUCUGAUACCGGGCAGCCUGGUGGUUGGCGUGGUGGUUGGGCAGGGGGAUGGAGCAUUGGAAGUUAAGAACGGGUUUAGCCAUUGUUCUCUCUCUUACGUCUGGGCUUCACAAGAGAAGGUCAUGGUUGGUUUGUAGUGUACCUUUCAUUUAUUUGGCGUGGGCUACGGCCAAACAGUAGCCUGUGUUAAGUUAAGUUAAACCGUCCAUUCGUUAACUCCAUCCUCUGUCUGGACAAUUGUUCCUUCAUGAUCUAGUCAGGUCAUUACAGGUAUUUUUGAAGGUGGAUGUUCAGCCCAGCCAAUCAAGCAGCUCUUACCACUCUACUUGGGUACUUGUAUCCUACAACGGAUCAGUAGAGACGGCUGAGGGAUUUUACAGGCAUGCUGGGAAUAUGAGCUUUGGGUGGGUAAUACCCAGGUGAAGGAGAUGGGAAUGUAUGGAAGGGAGUUUAGCCCAACGGUAGCUAUUCCUGUAAAUCCACCAUGGCUACUCCCACCUCCAGUAGUAGAUCUAGAAGUAUUGGAGAGACUACAGAAAGAUAAGGAGGGUCUUGAUCCAUCUGAUUUGUUUAAGGGAAGUCUUGAUACUGUGUAUCAGGAUGUUGUGGCCAUAUACACAGAUGGUUCAAAAGAUCCAAGGACAGGACAUACUGGGUCAGCAUUUGUAGUGCAGGAAUCUGGGGUGAAAGUCAGAUCAUCUGGUUGUAUAUACAGAUGAGAUGGUGGCCAUACUGUUGUCCUUGCAGUGGGUGGAGGAAGUUGAGCCAGAAAGAGUAGUUAUUUGCUCUGAUUCUCCAGUCCUUUUAUAUCAAGACAAGUCCUGCUUUGUGAGGUGCUACAAACCCAUGGCAGGAGUAAACAAAUGGAUAUACAGCUAAUAUUUACAUGGGUCCCAGCUUAUGUGGGAGUGCAGGGGAACGAGGCAGUUGAUGUACUGGCUAAACAAGCACUAAGUAGUGGGGAUGUUGAUGUGGAAGUUUCAAUGAGCAAGGCAGAGGCAAAAAGCGAUGGUGGAGAAAUGGCAAGAGCAGUGGAAUAGAGAUACUUAGGCCAGGCAUUUAUUUUCAAGUACAGAGGAAAGUUGGGGAGAACGGCAGGAAGGGACAGAAGAGAGGAGGCUUUAUUUACACGAUUAAUGGUGGGACACAGCUAGUUGAAUAAGACCUUACAUGUGAUAGGAAAGCAUCCAACAGGACAAUGUGAGUAUUGCCAGGAAACAGACAGUGGAACAUGUAUUGAUACAGUGUGGACAUUGGAGGGAAAGAGGGAAGGGGAUACAGGAAUUAGUUUAAAUAGUAUAUUGAGUAGAACGUCAUUAGAUAUAGUCUCAAAUAUUUUGUUAUUUUUUUAAGAGCAACGGGGCUAGCAGGUAGGAUUUAGUUUCUCCCUGUCUCUGGCCCACACUCUAGUACAGUAGGUGGCGGUAAUGCACCAUAACGUUGGAUGCCAACCGCCGAUAAACCCCACCCUAGAAGAAGUAGAGCUGGCUGGAUGAUUUUCGUCGCUGGCGUUGGAAAGUCAAGCAGCCUCAAUGUUGUUGUGAAAGGUGCAGUGUCCAGUGGGCUAACUGGCAUAGCCUGCACAGAUGAGCAGCGACAAUGGAAUGCAGGGACUCGGAGGAACCUUGAGCCAAAGCGGUUAAACAGCAUUGACUUCACACACUAUAAGGCCAGUGACCAAUAUGCAGAAAAGCGUCCCCUGCCUCCCACUCCUGUAUUCCACUCACAGGAGGAAUUGAAUAGGAGCCUGAGACACCUGAAUCUGCCUGUGGGGAGUCUGCUCUAUAAGUGGGUUAAUGCUGAACCAACAAUAACAUCACAGCCAGUAGCAUCCCAGCUAAAAUUUGGACUGAAAGGAAUAUUUAUUUGUGGCUGUACCAUUUUAAUGUAUUUGAAGAUAAUGAGCUGAUGGCCUCCCAGUGGCUGGAAGACUGUGGAUACUCUGUGGACCACAGAGGCACUGUUGUCAGUGUUGAAGAGCCAUGGCUAUCAUCAAGCCCUGACAGAGUGCUGAACUCCAAGGAGCUGUUGGAGAUCAAGUGUCCUGUCAUGGGGAAGGCUUCUAGGGCCCUAUGAUUUCCGCGAUGUGGAAAACGAACAGAAUCGCAGAAUUUGGUAAUAAAAAUGGAAUCAACUGUAGAAUGUGGAAUUUUGCAGAAUUUGGCUGAAAUUGAUUUAAAAAAAAAUCUAAAGUAGGCCUAAUUAUUGUAGUAACGUAAAUUAUUUCAUAAUUAUAGACGAUUAUGCCUAGGAAAAUAGUGUCCAUGUAACCGGUCUCUGUCAUGUCAUCAAUCUGGUGGGUGAGACCUGGCAGCACUACAAAUACUUCUCUGUAGUUGCAUCACUUGUGACAUGGAUGAGAUCUGUCUUCUUCAAGAAGCCUGGCAGAAAGAGAAGAUGGGUGAUGACAGCUCUGUCACUCCUGGAAAGAACCCACCAUCCCACAGCAGUGUCUGCAUACAAUGACAUGGAGGAUCUGGGCUCUUACCUAGUGAAUGGAACAGCAAAAACAUGUGGGUAUGGUGCCAAGACAGAUGAGCUAUUGAGAAAGAUGGGGAUUGGAGGGAGGUGCUUGACCGUCUCUGAUGCAUUCCACUUGGCCUUCAAAGUUGUCAAAACACUGGGACACACAUCCAGCGAGGGAGGUCUACAGGCUGGCUAGGGUGUUCGAUCCUAGGCAGGCUCCAGCCAUGGAAAAGCAGAUUGAAGGCUACACACAACUGAAACCCAUGGCAAGCCCAUCAUCAGAGCUCAGUGAAAAAUGUGUCCAGGGAGCCCUCACCUGCUUUGGAGCUUGCUGAUUACUGGAGGGGCCUGAGUGUGAGAUUCCCAAGAGUUGCAGAAGUGGCAGUGGCCUACAUCUACUUCCCACUCAGCUCAGUUGACUGUGAGAGGAGUUUCAGCAAAUACAAGACUACUUACAGACAAGCGAGAAGCACUCACUGAGCUCAAAACAGAGGCUGACAAUCAUGUACUUCAAUGGAGAUGUCAGUGAUAGAUGGAAAACUUACAAUGGACAGACAUAGGAGCUCAUAAGGUAGUUCCAUAGGUUUUUCUUAUUGCUGCAUUGUUGCCUAGAUUCUUGCAUUACCUUUUCUUUAAUGAAACACUUAGAACUCUGUACUGAAGCACUUGCCUUUAUUUUUUUUUUAAAUAGUGCAAUGUUGUGUUGCAUCAUUACAAAGGUACUGUUAUCUUAUUUGAUGUUUUAUUCAUUCAUAUUACUAGACACGCUUUCUGAUGAUAAAAUUAGCAUAAAUCGUAAAACAUAGAAUUCAGAAACAUUUUCACAGAAAAAUUGAAUUUGAGAAAAAAUAUAAUGGAAUUUUGAAAAAAUAAAACGGAUUUCAUAGGGCCCUAGGAAGGGCUGUGAUUCUCUGGAUGAUGUCUUCAAUGGGAAAGCCUGUGAUGUGAAGGUGGUGGGGGGCACACCCUAACUGCAACCACAUGGGCCACGUGGCUACUACAUGCAGCUGCAAAUUGGUAUGUUUUGCACAAGACUGAGACAAAGUAAGGUGCUCAUUUGGACUCUGUCCCGGCAAGUUGUCAUCCCCGUUCCCUAUGAUGCACAGGUCUGUGCAGAGGCUGUCCUGAGGUUGAAGGCAUUCUACUCAACACAUGCUGUCAUUUAUUGUUAAGAAGCAUCAGGCAGGCAGCUUGUCACUGAGUGACAAAUAUAUGCAGCUCUGUACACGUAUGUAGUUAGAUGUCUCUCCUGUUUGCAGUUACUAUUAACACAUUGUUUUUCAAUUAAAAAGCCUGACUUAAUGCAUCAACAGUCA
Molecule: long non-coding RNA, 3906 nt
Organism: Salmo salar (Atlantic salmon)
Lineage: Eukaryota; Metazoa; Chordata; Actinopteri; Salmoniformes; Salmonidae
Source: RefSeq, a predicted model, not a curated record